GAAUGGAUUAAGAGCUUGCUCUUAUGAAGUUAGCGGCGGACCGGUGAGUAACACGUGGGUAACCUGCCCAUAAGACUGGGAUAACUCCGGGAAACCGGGGCUAAUACCGGAUAACAUUUUGAACUGCAUGGUUCGAAAUUGAAAGGCGGCUUCGGCUGUCACUUAUGGAUGGACCCGCGUCGCAUUAGCUAGUUGGUGAGGUAACGGCUCACCAAGGCAACGAUGCGUAGCCGACCUGAGAGGGUGAUCGGCCACACUGGGACUGAGACACGGCCCAGACUCCUACGGGAGGCAGCAGUAGGGAAUCUUCCGCAAUGGACGAAAGUCUGACGGAGCAACGCCGCGUGAGUGAUGAAGGCUUUCGGGUCGUAAAACUCUGUUGUUAGGGAAGAACAAGUGCUAGUUGAAUAAGCUGGCACCUUGACGGUACCUAACCAGAAAGCCACGGCUAACUACGUGCCAGCAGCCGCGGUAAUACGUAGGUGGCAAGCGUUAUCCGGAAUUAUUGGGCGUAAAGCGCGCGCAGGUGGUUUCUUAAGUCUGAUGUGAAAGCCCACGGCUCAACCGUGGAGGGUCAUUGGAAACUGGGAGACUUGAGUGCAGAAGAGGAAAGUGGAAUUCCAUGUGUAGCGGUGAAAUGCGUAGAGAUAUGGAGGAACACCAGUGGCGAAGGCGACUUUCUGGUCUGUAACUGACACUGAGGCGCGAAAGCGUGGAGAGCAAACAGGAUUAGAUACCCUGGUAGUCCACGCCGUAAACGAUGAGUGCUAAGUGUUAGAGGGUUUCCCCUCUUUAAUGCUAGAAUUAACGCAUUAAGCACUCCGCCUGGGGAGUACGGGCGCAAAGUUGAAACUUAAAAAGAAUAGACGGGCGGCCCCCACAGCGGGGGAGCAUGUGUUUUUAAUUGAAACCACCCCAAAAAAACUUUAACCGGUCUUUGCCUCUCCCAGAAAACCCUUAAAAAAAGGGUCUCCUCCUUCGGGAAGCAAAAUGACAGGUG
This 1000-nucleotide ribosomal RNA is filed under the name Bacillus sp. (in: firmicutes). RNAcentral's name for it is "bacterial SSU rRNA". It matches the Rfam family "Bacterial small subunit ribosomal RNA", at positions 68 to 1040 of the family's 1533-position model. The record is from RNAcentral. Lineage: Bacteria; Bacillati; Bacillota; Bacilli; Caryophanales; Bacillaceae.